Molecule: ribosomal RNA, 256 nt
Filed under: uncultured bacterium
Lineage: Bacteria
Description: partial 16S ribosomal RNA
Rfam family: Bacterial small subunit ribosomal RNA
Source: RNAcentral
UACGGAGGGAGCAAGCGUUAAUCGGAAUUACUGGGCGUAAAGCGCACGUAGGCGGUUUUUUAAGUCAGAUGUGAAAGCCCCGGGCUCAACCUGGGAAUUGCAUUUGAAACUGGGGAACUAGAGUGUGUGAGAGGGGGGUAGAAUUCCAAGUGUAGCGGUGAAAAUGCGUAGAGAUUUGGAGGAAUACCAGUGGCGAAAGGCGGCCCCCUGGCACAACACUGACGCUCAGGUGCGAAAGCGUGGGGAGCAAAACAGG